RNAcentral lists this ribosomal RNA (266 nucleotides) under uncultured bacterium. RNAcentral's name for it is "partial 16S ribosomal RNA". The record is from RNAcentral.
CUGCUGCCUUCCGUAGGAGUCUGGGCCGUGUCUCAGUCCCAGUGUGGCCGUCCACCCUCUCAGGCCGGCUGCUGAUCGUCGCUUUGGUGGGCCGUUACCCCGCCAACUGGCUAAUCAGACGCGGGCCCAUCCUGUACCACCGGAGUUUUCGAAGGAUUACCAUGCGGUAUUCCCUAUUAUGCGGUAUUAGCACCUAUUUCUAAGUGUUAUCCCCCGGUACAGGGCAGGUUGCCCACGCGUUACUCACCCGUCCGCCACUAAGACAG